CCGUGUAAAACUCAACUGGUUAAAGGCAGGAACGUUGGGGUCUCUCUAACCCUAAGCCUGGUACCACGUUGUGACGGCUGAGUCCUCAGCAUGGGCGAAGUGGGAAAGAGAUUUUUCAGCCUUUGAGUGUGCUGUGCGUGGUUUCAAUAUUGCAGGAAUCGCUUCUCUUCCCAGCACGGUGCAGCCACUUUGGGGCAGGAAUGCUGUAAGGAAUCUCACUCGGUCCUUGGAUAAGGAAAUGAUCAAGGACUUGCCUAUUCACAAUUAAUGGAGAAAAAAAAAAAAAAAAAAAAAAGAGCUGAGGGCCUUUAUUAAUUAUUGCACAAUAAGGAAGUCAUACUGGUUUGGCUCCUUUCAAGAGGGCUCUUUGGUCACACCUACCUAAGUGGUUUGGCAUCCCAACCAUCUCCCCGCGCACGGCCAGGGAGGAGGAGGAGGAGGAGGAGGAGGAGGAGGAGGGAAGGGCCCUGACGCCCGCCCGUGUGCCACCGCGGUGCCUGGCCCCCGGCUCGCGGGACGGGGGGAGCUCCCAGUGCCCGUCUCCCUGUCCCGGAGGACCGGGCAUCUCUUUUUAGAGAUCUCUGCCCCACGCACACACCGGGACCAGCCGGCCCCAUGCUCCGGGCGCAGGUUUCCACCCUGAGCCCCGGCAGCAAAAAGGAGCAGAAAUUCAAGCGUGCCCUGUGCCGGAGUUUCCCCCCUGCCAGCUGCGGGGGGUCCCUGCUUGGCUGUGGGGAGAGGGUCCUCCCAGGGGUGCUGCCACCCGCCCGGUGACCCUGCCCGCUGCUGGGCUUGUGCCCCGGGGCCCCGGCUUGCCUCUCGCGGCAGCCCGUCUGUGUAACCCCCCAGCUCCAGAGAGCAGCCUGCGGCCAGAUGUGACGGCUGGCGGGUGCCUCUGAGGUGCCAGGGGACGGAUGUCCAGGCGCUGGGCUUUAGCCGGCGCACGGGGUUGUACCCUGUGCCCUCGGAGAGGGGGCCGGGAGGGGGGGGCGGAAUUUUAUAGCGAGUGGUAGGAGGACACCGGCACGGGAUGAGCGACAACGCUUCAGGAGCCCAGGCGACAUCGCGGGUGCCUUUCCUAGGUGAGCUUGUGCAGGCUGGAGUUUGCAGAGCUGAGCGGCCCGAGCCCGCUGAGAGCAAGUGCUGCCCGGAGGCGGGAAGCAUCGUCUAAUCCUCCCCGCGCUGGGUUGUCCUGCACAGAGCACCCUUCGGCUUGUGCCAAGCUGCAGCGCUGCCACAGUGGAGGUAACAGAGGUAGUGGGUGACCAUGAGGCAACUUCAUAAUUGACAUAUCCGACGACUCGUAAAGGUUGCACCCUGAGGAGAGAAGUCCGUUUCCCAGGUUCCUCUGCAGAGACACCUUCAGAUUAGCCCCUUCCAUCUCCCUCCUGAGCACGGUUUAACAGAAGGACUCUGCAGAACGCAAGCUCCCAGAAAUGUUCCUGAGGAAAAUAACAAGGCAUGACAAAUCGGCUUUUGCCAAACCGCAGCAGUCACUUCACCAGCCAGUUCAAUUACUUACAGUACCAAAAAAACCCAAGGCUGGCUAGGAUGAAAGCCUUCUUCAAAGAGAAGGUAUUCUCCAUCAGUAAACAGAUCAUUACUCAUUAAAUAUACUGCUUAGGAACAUCUACAACAAAGCAGACUAUUUACUGCAGAUUUCUGUGGCAUUCAGUCUAUGCAAAACUCCUCUGCUUACAGCUGUACUUUAUAAAAAAAAUGCUGAAGCAAAGCAAAAGAAAGCAAGACUGGUUGGCUCCAGUUUAAGUUGAAAUGUACUUUAAAAAAAAAAAAAAAGGAAAAGAAAUAUGUAUUUACAAGGACAGAGAAGCCAGCAUCCAUACUCGGCUCGGUUCAGUGCGUACAGUUUAUCUGUAGUCAAAGACUCUACCGUGUUACCUGGACAUAACAUAGACAGUACACUGAAAGAUGUCUUCGGUAGAAAAAGAUGUCUGCUUUUAUCUCAUCUCCCAAAGUUAAUAGUUAUAUAAUCUUGACAUGACGAAUUGCAAGAUAUUUUAUUAUAGGGGAAAAAACUGCAGGAGGGUUUCAUAUUCGUGGUUAAUGUGCAAGGUUUUCCAUCAGGAGGCACAAGUCAACGCCGACAGAUACGUGACUUAAAAGUAUUGCAGCCCUUUAGCCAAGUUUCUGCUUCUGUGUCUGACUGUUCUUACUUCGCUACCUGAGGUGAGAAACAAUUAUUUCUGAUUUUUGAAGGACCAGCUGAACCCCGUGAGGAAGACGGGAACAGGCAAUGACAACGCCACUUUCAACACAGAUUCUUUGCUUCACUAUUCACUACCCUGACGGAAUCUAUCACGUUACCCUAUAAGGCAAAGAAACGGCCAUUUUUUAAAUGUAUCCAAGAAAACAGCUGCUUUCAAAGCAUGCUCCUACUCCCAGCAACCCCCUUUUACAGCAGCAUCCUUUUUCCAGUGGUGUUAGGCUAGUAGCAAGCAAAUUUAGUUUGAGGUAUGUGGGCAGUUUGCGCAUUUUCAAGUGGCAAUGAAAUGUAAUUGAAUACAGUUAUGUUCAAUUAACGUACUUAUGAUAAAACACAGGGCGUGUUGGACAGCAAGCACGUACACACCUAAGUGCACAGGUAGCUUCCCAAUUACUUCUCUUGAUGUUAAAGUUUAAUGCAGAGCUGUGUCAAAAAUAAAUUAAUAGCGUGUCACAUUGUCUGGCAUUAAAAAUCAUCUACUUUCUUUGGUCA
Molecule: long non-coding RNA, 2716 nt
Organism: Tyto alba (common barn owl)
Lineage: Eukaryota; Metazoa; Chordata; Aves; Strigiformes; Tytonidae
Exons: 3
Source: RefSeq, a predicted model, not a curated record